GUUAGUGGCUGUACUAUGAAGCUAGCUGAGAGGGAAUAAAUUCAAAGAUGAUAGAUCAGACCUGAGGUGUGGUGUUGUCUGCCAGAAAGCCUGCUCGCAACCAUGCUUUACUACAGAGAAGAGAUGCCUUUGUAUCUGCACUGAGUGUCAUGAGAGAAUAACCCUAGUUGCGUGACUAGAAGAUGUUUAAAAACAACACCAGUAGACAGCCUGGAAGAUAUUUUUGCUUGGAUUUUAGCUGCUGAUAUUGACGUGACAGCAUUCCAGCCAUUUAAGAAAGAAGUAUGUAGGUGUUCGUGUCCUAUGCAAAUUUGAACAUGCGAUGUGUCCACUCAUUAAAGGCAUGGCUUGCUGAAGUCUAGAAGGUGGACGUGGAUGGCUGAAUGGAAACAAAAUGCAUCUUUUGUGUUAACAUUCAAUGGAAGUGUUUGCUCCAUUCACUGAGGCUUUCUGUUGCAGCAAAUUGUUUAAACUAGGAACUGCCUGCUUCCGUUUCUGAUGUCCAAAACCAGAUGGAGUUUCCUUGGAGGAAGAAGGGCUGCAAGAAUUUAAUCAUUUCAAUAGUAUCUGGCAUGCACCAAUGCACAUCUUAUUUGUGUUCUGCAACAGAAAAGGAAAAGAAGAAGAUAUAGGCUGCUCCUUUGUUUUAAAAGGCAUAGUAUCUGUUGUAUGUAAUUAUUUCAUCAGCCACUAACAAUGCAUCCUGUGUAAGAAGAGGAAGAAAUGGGGGAAGAUAAGCUCUAGGUCAAAAAGGAAAGAAGGAUAUCCUAAAGAAGCUUAGCCUUUUGCUUCCCUUUUCCCUCUCUCUGAAAAUCAUCCCAAGCCCUAAGAGAGUAAAUGUGUUUUAUUCUAAUCUUACCAUUUGUGUCGUGAGCUGCCUGUAUUACCUGGUUUCUGCAUGAAAGCCGAGUCCAGUUUAACUGAAGGAAAUCUGGGGAGAAUACCGUGCUGCGGAUCUGAUCGUGGUGUUUGUUUGUACUAAUGGCAACAAUGUGUAAUUGUAGUUAUCCUAUUAAAUUAAUUUAGCUUUGAGGCUUACAAAACAAUCUAUAGUGUGUCUGAAGAAUGACAAUGCAGUUACAGACUGAGCUGUUCAGUAUGCCCAUUUACAAAGUGUACUUCUAGACAAAUACAAGUAUUUCCCAUUGAGAACAAAUAAAAGUGGAAAGCUGUUCUCUCCAUGUUUAUAUUUUGUUUAUGCUGUUGUAUCCCUUUGCUUACCCAUUUGGUCACUUCUUGACAGCUUGACUGAUUCCUUUCUUUUUCAGUCACAUUUGGAUUUAAGUGGUGACAAUUAGAUUUUUUUUGUAGACUUUGAAUAUCAAACAAAUGGAAUCUUUCAACUGUCUUCAGAUUUGCAUUAGCUUUUAGAAACAAACGACAUCCAUAGUCUUUUGGCAGCUCUAACGUAUGGUAUAUAUAGAUUAAAUAUGUGGUGCAGGGAUUUUCAAAACUGAGAAAAAAGACGGUCCAGUCAGGUUGCUUCAUCUAGGAUGCCAGGUGCUCUGAGUACACCCACUUUUGGGGCUCAAAUCUCAAAACACUUUUGAGUCACAGUUCUCUGAAAGUCUGAAUUUUGUGUAACCACCAGUUGUGCUUCAAAAUUGCUAAAAAUGAUUCAGUGAGGUGGGAGAAGUGAAGAUGCAGCUUGAACUGUGGCAAAAUCACAAGGCAGUGAAAAUCUUUGAAGAGAAGGGUCAGUUUGCUCUGUAACUGGGACUCCAGUCAUUGAAACAGUGGAUUUAGGUUGUCUUUAAAACUAGAAUGUAUGUCUGAAAGCUAAAAUUAAGUCACUUUUUUCCACUAACUCUUUAAGAAUUCAUAGUAACUUUUGGUAGAUAGUGAAUUAGGUUCUGGUGAGUGGGGGGUUUCUAUGGUUCACCUGAGUUCAGCGCAUCUGCGUUACAAGACAGAGUAGAACUUGGAUUUCAUUUUUCCUCUGUUCUUGUGCCAUUGCCGCCGCAAAAAAGCGGUGCUGGUGCUAGAAAUGUGUAUGUCUAUCUUAAUGGUAUGUCUGUCUUUAUGUCGCAUGACUUCUCGCGAUCAAUUUUGAAAUAAGCUGAUGUUUUGAGAGAUCUUCCCUUGAUAAUUGCUGAUGAAAUUGCCAACUUAAUCCUCUCCCAUGUGUUAGGUAUCUACAAUUUUUAACUUGUUUACUAUUUUAGAAUGUGCUUUUAAACCUUUACUUAAAAAGUAGGCUUGGGUUGUUCAUGGAGUUAAGUUGUAUCUUUCAAUGUGUACCUGUCACGACUCAUUUUUGCAGCUGCUUUCCCAGCGAUGCUGUAAUUCUGAAUGUGUUGCAUGUUCAGCAUCCCUUGCCAUCUCUGCUUCUGUUACUGAAAACAAAACUUGUCCUGUUACAGAUUGUCACGGCAGUGAAAGAAAGAACAGACUUCUACUAUCACAAGAAAUAACAAGCAACAUUUUUUCCAAAAAUAUUUACUAUUUGAUGUAAGCAGAUUAUUGUACUUGUAAACUGUCGGAAUUGAGUGAAAGUUGGAAGUGUUAGGUCUUUUAAAUAAAAGCUAGUCUAUUUGUUAGUUUUUUGCAAUUGUACUGCUCACAGGCCUGAGGACUUCUUAACUACAUCGGAACUUGUUUCUUUUUGAGGAUGGUGAAAUAUGUCCAAUCUCUUCAUUCAGAUCACUUUACUCUGCUACAGUUUGAAUCAUUGGGAGUGUCAGAGCUUUCACUCUUCUACACUUGGAUUACCGCCCUGUCAUCUAGAUCUCGGAUUACUAGAUGGUUGUAGCUGAACACCUUUUCCAAACGUGGGAAGUGUUGACCUGAAGUGUCUUGGAGAUAAGGACAUUGUAAUAAUAAUUUCUUCCAUGGAGGACUGAUGGAGUAAAAUAAAAUCUGUAAGAACAAGUCACUUGAACUUUAUCUUUGUACGUAGGAGGAAAAUACACUUUUACUGAACAUAAGUAUACCUAAUUAAACUUGUCGUAAGUAUACCUAAUUAAAAAUUUGAUGGUGCUUUCA
This is a long non-coding RNA of Cygnus atratus (black swan), 2985 nucleotides long. RefSeq lists it as uncharacterized. The record is from RefSeq and is a predicted model, not a curated record. The transcript is spliced from 4 exons. NCBI's taxonomy places the organism in Eukaryota, Metazoa, Chordata, Aves, Anseriformes, Anatidae.